RNAcentral lists this ribosomal RNA (260 nucleotides) under uncultured prokaryote. RNAcentral's name for it is "partial 16S ribosomal RNA". It matches the Rfam family "Bacterial small subunit ribosomal RNA", at positions 917 to 1178 of the family's 1533-position model. The record is from RNAcentral.
GGGCCCGCACAAGCGGUGGAGCAUGUGGUUUAAUUCGAUGCAACGCGAAGAACCUUACCUGGUCUUGACAUCCACGGAAGUUUUCAGAGAUGAGAAUGUGCCUUCGGGAACCGUGAGACAGGUGCUGCAUGGCUGUCGUCAGCUCGUGUUGUGAAAUGUUGGGUUAAGUCCCGCAACGAGCGCAACCCCUAUUGUUAGUUGCCAUCAUUAAGUUGGGCACUCUAGCGAGACUGCCGGUAAUAAACCGGAGGAAGGUGGGG